UUCGAUCAGACCCACGUAAUACCAUCCAACUGCCCACAUUACAUCACCAUACUACAAUCAGAUCGACGGUGAAAACAAAUGUUCUGUCGGCAGACUCCUUCGUCCGGGAUGCUACACAACCCAACGAUGGCACCUCCUAGAAACUAAACAAUACAUCCACAAUCAACGCCGCCACCACGCCAUGAACCUGGCCUCGCCCUUGGGGUCCGCGACAUCCUCAUCCCGGUGGCCGUGCCAUCUGAACGGAACCUCGGCCUUGCUCCGCCAUCCUCACCCCUUGUCUUCGCGUCGUCAUCAACCCGGCGACCGUGCCGUCUGAACGAAACCUCGGCCUCGCCCCUGAUCUCCACGCCGUCGUUGACCCGGUGGCCGUGUCGUCUGAACGAAACCUCCGUCUCGCCCCGUCGUCCUCGUCCCUGAUCUCCACGCCGUCGUCGACCCGAUGGCCAUCCUCGACCCGGCGCGCUGCCCUACCUCCGGUGGCCCGCGCCAUAGUAGUAAUUCCGCCCCUGCCACUGCACAGGUUAGAUCAUUUGAAUUUGCAAUCAGACAUCAGACAUAAGGCAAAGGAAAUAUCUCUUUUAAUCUGACAAAUCUGUAAUUUGUAGUGUGAAAUUUGAUACUUAUAGGACAAUCAUGAUCUGCAUGACAAACUAAGUUCUUCAUGUAGAAUUGUUCAUUGUUUGACUCACAAAUUGACGGCAAGGUUGAAGAAGUGUUUCACAAAUAGAUGCAGUGAGAAGACAAUAUGACAUCCUCUCAGUGUAGUGGGGUAUGUACUCCCUUUCAGGACUUGACAAACAGCGGCAAUUUAGGUAAAUACUACUUCGACCUUGUAAAUCCUGAAUAUUUCAUUCCCUCAUAGGUCAAAAAACAGAUCCAAAAAAUUGAAGAGACAAAGGGAAAGGGAGAGGUAUGCACUAAACAGGGAUGCAAUAUUAAAAAGAAGACAUGAGGCAAGGGAUCGUAAGAAAGCUACAUCGGCUAUUCUCAAUGGAAACAACACUCCAUCUAAGCCACCCGUCUCCAUGUCGCCUGGUUUCUCUAUUUUCUCUGUUCUUUAUGAUACAUUCAUGAAUAACAAGUAAAGUCAUAUUAAUGAUCAGUUCGUUUGGGCAGAUUUUGACACUGUGGAGAGGCCCAGUGCACCAUCUGUUGUUACCCAGCAUGGGUACACACCGGAAGGUGAUGUUUCUCUUGACAAACAUAAUAGCUUCCUUUCCGUGUCAACAAAACUGACACAGUACAUACAUUUGUGAUGUAGGUAUACCUGUUGAUGUCGUAAUGACUGAUCAGACUCCACUUCAUGGUCCAAAUUCAUUAAGAACACCCGAAGAUGUCAACAUGUCGAGUCUGCCAUUGAGUCCUCCCAACUAACUGGGUUACGACCACCACUUCAAGCCUACAAAUGCAGCAUGUCAUAUGGUAAUCAACUGUUCCUCAUAUUAUCUAUGAUACAUAAUUGACACUUAGAUCGUACAGAGGAAAAACAACUUCUUCUCAUAUUGCAUUGUCUACUGUACAUAAUUCACACUUAUUCUACAGAAAGAAAAACAAGCACUUAAGAGGGAGAGGGAAAAUGCCCGGUAUGAGCAACAUGAAGAAGGGAUAUUACAGAGCCUACGUGAGAAACGGUGCCGAGCCAAAUCUACAGUUGUCCCAACAACCGGAGAACAAACUCAAUCCAGUACAGGUGAUGCCAGCUACAUCAAACACAUGAUAUCCAAUCUUUGAUUUCCUAAUUGAUAGUCACUCAAUAUUUCUGUAGCCGAUGAAGAUUGUGAUUGGCUACACAAAAAUGAUACAUACCAGAUGCAAAACAUUGGAGGGAGGAUGACGCCAGUCAACAUACUCAGUAAGCCGUCGUGUGGACACAAUC
Molecule: long non-coding RNA, 1879 nt
Filed under: Triticum aestivum (bread wheat)
Lineage: Eukaryota; Viridiplantae; Streptophyta; Magnoliopsida; Poales; Poaceae
Description: long non-coding RNA (TAES_LNC015292)
Source: RNAcentral